GAUGAACGCUGGCGGCGUGCCUAAUACAUGCAAGUCGAGCGAACAGAUAAGGAGCUUGCUCCUUUGACGUUAGCGGCGGACGGGUGAGUAACACGUGGGUAACCUACCUAUAAGACUGGGAUAACUUCGGGAAACCGGAGCUAAUACCGGAUAAUAUUUCGAACCGCAUGGUUCGAUAGUGAAAGAUGGUUUUGCUAUCACUUAUAGAUGGACCCGCGCCGUAUUAGCUAGUUGGUAAGGUAACGGCUUACCAAGGCGACGAUACGUAGCCGACCUGAGAGGGUGAUCGGCCACACUGGAACUGAGACACGGUCCAGACUCCUACGGGAGGCAGCAGUAGGGAAUCUUCCGCAAUGGGCGAAAGCCUGACGGAGCAACGCAGCGUGAGUGAUGAAGGUCUUCGGAUCGUAAAACUCUGUUAUUAGGGAAGAACAUACGUGUAAGUAACUGUGCACGUCUUGACGGUACCUAAUCAGAAAGCCACGGCUAACUACGUG
This 497-nucleotide ribosomal RNA is filed under the name uncultured bacterium. RNAcentral describes it as "partial 16S ribosomal RNA". It matches the Rfam family "Bacterial small subunit ribosomal RNA", at positions 28 to 507 of the family's 1533-position model. The record is from RNAcentral.